RNAcentral lists this ribosomal RNA (468 nucleotides) under uncultured bacterium. Its description in RNAcentral is "partial 16S ribosomal RNA". It matches the Rfam family "Bacterial small subunit ribosomal RNA", at positions 28 to 507 of the family's 1533-position model. The record is from RNAcentral.
GACGAACGCUGGCGGCGUGCUUAGCACAUGCAAGUCGAACGGAAAGGCCCUGCUUUUGUGGGGUGCUCGAGUGGCGAACGGGUGAGUAACACGUGAGUAACCUGCCCUUGACUUUGGGAUAACUUCAGGAAACUGGGGCUAAUACCGGAUAGGAGCUCCUGCUGCAUGGUGGGGGUUGGAAAGUUUCGGCGGUUGGGGAUGGACUCGCGGCUUAUCAGCUUGUUGGUGGGGUAGUGGCUUACCAAGGCUUUGACGGGUAGCCGGCCUGAGAGGGUGACCGGCCACAUUGGGACUGAGAUACGGCCCAGACUCCUACGGGAGGCAGCAGUGGGGAAUAUUGCACAAUGGGCGGAAGCCUGAUGCAGCAACGCCGCGUGCAGGAUGACGGCCUUCGGGUUGUAAACCGCUUUCGCCUGUGACGAAGCGUGAGUGACGGUAAUGGGUAAAGAAGCACCGGCUAACUACGUG